UUCUCAAGGAGGUGUCGUUUAU
This 22-nucleotide microRNA is filed under the name Homo sapiens (human). Its description in RNAcentral is "hsa-miR-513c-5p". Its record names the gene hsa-miR-513c-5p. Lineage: Eukaryota; Metazoa; Chordata; Mammalia; Primates; Hominidae. The record is from miRBase by way of RNAcentral.